RNAcentral lists this ribosomal RNA (720 nucleotides) under uncultured Bacteroidales bacterium. Its description in RNAcentral is "bacterial SSU rRNA". It matches the Rfam family "Bacterial small subunit ribosomal RNA", at positions 45 to 759 of the family's 1533-position model. The record is from RNAcentral. Lineage: Bacteria; Pseudomonadati; Bacteroidota; Bacteroidia; Bacteroidales.
GGCCUAACACAUGCAAGUCGAGGGGCAUCACGAGGUAGCAAUACUUUGGUGGCGACCGGCGCACGGGUGCGUAACGCGUAUGUAACCUACCUAUAACAGGGGCAUAACACUGAGAAAUUGGUACUAAUUCCCCAUAAUAUUCGGAGAGGCAUCUCUCCGGGUUGAAAACUCCGGUGGUUAUAGAUGGACAUGCGUUGUAUUAGCUAGUUGGUGAGGUAACGGCUCACCAAGGCAACGAUACAUAGGGGGACUGAGAGGUUAACCCCCCACACUGGUACUGAGACACGGACCAGACUCCUACGGGAGGCAGCAGUGAGGAAUAUUGGUCAAUGGACGCAAGUCUGAACCAGCCAUGCCGCGUGCAGGAAGACGGCUCUAUGAGUUGUAAACUGCUUUUGUACGAGGGUAAACUCACCUACGUGUAGGUGACUGAAAGUAUCGUACGAAUAAGGAUCGGCUAACUCCGUGCCAGCAGCCGCGGUAAUACGGAGGAUUCAAGCGUUAUCCGGAUUUAUUGGGUUUAAAGGGUGCGUAGGCGGUUUGAUAAGUUAGAGGUGAAAUCCCGGGGCUUAACUCCGGAACUGCCUCUAAUACUGUUAGACUAGAGAGUAGUUGCGGUAGGCGGAAUGUAUGGUGUAGCGGUGAAAUGCUUAGAGAUCAUACAGAACACCGAUUGCGAAGGCAGCUUACCAAACUAUAUCUGACGUUGAGGCACGAAAG